This 234-nucleotide ribosomal RNA is filed under the name uncultured bacterium. RNAcentral's name for it is "partial 16S ribosomal RNA". It matches the Rfam family "Bacterial small subunit ribosomal RNA", at positions 15 to 240 of the family's 1533-position model. The record is from RNAcentral.
GAUCAUGGCUCAGGACGAACGCUGGCGGCGCGCCUAACACAUGCAAGUCGAGGGGCAGCAUGGUCUUAGCUUGCUAAGGCCGAUGGCGACCGGCGCACGGGUGAGUAACGCGUAUCCAACCUGCCUUACACUCUUGGACAGCCUUCUGAAAGGGAGAUUAAUACAAGAUGUUAUCAUGAGUAAGCAUUUUCGCAUGAUUAAAGGUUUACCGGUGUAAGAUGGGGAUGCGUUCCA